ACACCAACAAAUUUAACGGAAAAAAUUAACAAUGUAACAAUUUGACCUAAAUUUUGAAACAUGAAAAAUAGAACAAUUAAAUUUCUGAAAAUAUCAGUACAGGGAUCGAUGGCAUAUUUUAACCAAAUUAACAAUAUAAUCAAGUUAAAUGUUAAAUGCAUAACUUUAGCACUCCACAGCCGACCUGAUCACCGGAUUCAAAUAUGAGACACUAUAUUCGUUGUUGAAACAACUUGAACCAUCUUCUAUUUCAAAUCAAAUACAAAUAUCAAGCUUUUAUCACAUUAUACAAAACAUUCAUUUUGAUUAAAAACAAAUUCAAGUCAUUUUAAACACUUUAGAAUCAUUUUUAAACAAGUUCUAGGUGCUUGGGUAUGAUCGAGACCAAGUUCGGGUCUCCGGGAGUUGAAACAAGUCAAAAUAGGGGAGGGAUCGUAUCUGUAGAAGUCCCUGCUACUGGUUUACUUGUACCGAUACAUCUUAGCACUUGCAUCGGUAGAAGUUUGUCAGGAUCCAAAAAAUACCCUAAAACACACCUCAUUUGACCUAAAACAAUACCAAAUCAUUUCUAAACAUUAUGAAACACUAAAUACAAGUUUUAAACACCAUUUAAGCAUCUUUAAACACAUUCAAACAUAAGCCUUCAAACACGAACAUCACUUUACCAAUUUCAUACUUCAAUUUUAUCUACUUGACAUGGAAGCAACCAAUGACUGAUAGCAUAGCAAUAAUUUAAGAUCAUGCAUCUCAACUUAAUCACAUAAUCAUAUCAUCGAACAUUUAGAUUAUUGAACAUGUUUAACUUGAAUAUUUUGAAGCAUAGAAGAUACCAAGGCAUCAUAAUUGACUCCAAAAACUAAAUUACAACACUAGGUACAAGCCGACUCUAUUUUAGCAUUCAACUUACGAUUCAAACAUUACUGAGCUGAGAUUUGAAACCUGGAUGCUGCCAACCUUCUUGAAUCCAUGAGACCUAAUUGAAAUCUGCGCACAGAAACAAACAAAUCCACACACUAAACAAAAGAGCUCAAUGGUGCUAACAUAAUUCGAAAACAAUGUAUAUAAUAAAAUUUAAACAUAUAAAUUUGAUAUAAAAUCAUUUUUAACAAGUGUAUAUCAAGGAAUCUUUGUUUCAUGUUCUUUACUAAAACUGUCAUACCAAAUUCAUGCUUGAGUUAAGUCUCAUAUAACAUCAUCUCAUUAUGCCUUUAAUGCCAUGCACGAUCAUAUCUAGUAUCAUCAAUUAGAUUUAAGCAUAACAUCAAUACUAUCUCAAUUUAAUUAAUAAUCAUAUGGCAUUCUCAUACCACUAUUGAUAUCUCAACAUCAUGAUUCAAAAGGCAUUUCAUAUAAAAAUAUUCAUUUUCUCAUUUCAUGAUCGAAUCGAUUGAUUCAUUUUAUAACCAUAUCGGCCCUCGGGGCUCGUAAUAUCCGAAUCGCAUGGUUUUUCACAUGCUAUCUUUCCAUGCUUUAAUAAUUCAUUCUCAGUUUCCACAAUCAACAUUUAACAUUAAACUUCUACUGUUAUUAAGCAAAUCACAUGAUUUAUAAUCCCUAUUAACCAAACACAGAGUCAAGAUGGAUACACGGAUCAACCAAUCAUUACACCAAAAUAGCUGACACUCAGUGCAUCAUUGGUACAUUCGAAAUAAUGUGCGCUCUGCGCCUCAUCGGUAUGAACCGAAGUAAUAUAUGUAAAUGUGCCUAGCACCUUAUUAGUAAAAACCAAAAUAAACCCCAUACACUAAUCCUAUAUCAUGCCAACUAUAUCUGACUCUAUCCAAGACAGUUAAAUGUAUUCAAUAUUUCAAAGUAUAUAUGUUCCACAUGUAUAUAUCAAAUUCAUAUCUCUCUAAAAUCAUUUAUCAUUUCAUAACAUUAGUAUUCUUUUACAUUUCAAAUACAAUCAAUAUGGCAAUUCACAUAUCAUUUACAUGUCAAUUUCAUGCUUUUAUAUAUCAUCUACUUAUGCAUUCAUACUUUCACAUAUCAAUAUCACAUUUAUCUCAUAGUUACAUUUUCACAUCAAGAUAAGUAUACAUACAAAUACACAAACUAUCAUCACAUUAUAAUCAUUCAUCAUAUAUACUAUCAUCAUAGCUUUCACAAGUCCACAACCAUAUAAUACUUACCAAAUCAUGAGACAAGUAGGGUCCUUACCUUAAUCAAGCUAUUUUAUAACAAGUCAUAUAUAUAAUAUUCAAAUCAUGAAACCACAAACCAGAUAAAGCUACUCGUCUACAGUUUUCGCCUUUCCUUUAUCCCACGACGUCCCGAGUCUUUAGCUACAUAUGAUAAUUCAAUUAUUGACGCGAUAUUAGUUUUCAUACAAACACAUCAAUUAAACAUAAAUUGCAUUUUACUCAUUUUAGCCCCUAUAAGCCCUAAUAUCCGAAAUGCUUGGAUUUUUCAAUAUCUAAUGUCAAAUCAAAAUUUAAUUUCAUAUUUUUUCAUUAAAGACCCAAAGCUUUCAAUCUACAACAAAAUUUUCUAAACGCUUUCACUUUAUUUAAUUUGACCCCUAAUGUCAUAAAAUUAAUUAUAGGUUUUAGUUGAAUUUCUAAUCAAAUCCAACACUUUUCUCUACUUUCUAACUUAGUCCUAAUAUAAUUUAAGCUAAUCCUUCAAAAAUCUAUUACUAUCAAUUUUAAUUUCAUGAAAACUCAUUAAUGGAAACUUGGAUUUAACUUGACAAUUUGGAAAUCUAAAACAUGGGUAUGCAAGACAAAGCUUAGUUGAUAAAAUAUCUAUAAUAAUCUCAUGAAAAUAACUUGGUUACCUUGGUUAUUUGGGACGGAAAUUUGAAGAAAACUUAACCUUCUUUUUCUCUUUUCUAUUUGGUUUGAGAGGUAGGAGAUAAUAUUUUUGUUUUUCUCUCA
This 2879-nucleotide long non-coding RNA is filed under the name Gossypium barbadense (sea-island cotton). RNAcentral describes it as "long non-coding RNA (GBAR_LNC008588)". Lineage: Eukaryota; Viridiplantae; Streptophyta; Magnoliopsida; Malvales; Malvaceae. The record is from RNAcentral.